Molecule: ribosomal RNA, 498 nt
Filed under: uncultured bacterium
Lineage: Bacteria
Description: bacterial SSU rRNA
Rfam family: Bacterial small subunit ribosomal RNA
Source: RNAcentral
ACGAACGCUGGCGGCGUGCCUAAUACAUGCAAGUCGAGCGGAAUGAUGAAGAAGCUUGCUUCUUCUGAUUUUAGCGCGGACGGGUGAGUAACACGUGGGCAACCUACCCUGUAGAUUGGGAUAACUCCGGGAAACCGGGGCUAAUACCGAAUAAUCCAUUUUGCUUCAUGGCGAGAUGUUGAAAGACGGUUUCGGCUGUCACUAUAAGAUGGGCCCGCGGCGCAUUAGCUAGUUGGUAGGGUAAUGGCCUACCAAGGCGACGAUGCGUAGCCGACCUGAGAGGGUGAUCGGCCACACUGGGACUGAGACACGGCCCAGACUCCUACGGGAGGCAGCAGUAGGGAAUCUUCCACAAUGGACGAAAGUCUGAUGGAGCAACGCCGCGUGAGUGAAGAAGGUUUUCGGAUCAUAAAACUCUGUUGUAAGGGAAGAACACGUACGAGAGUAACUGCUCGUACCUUGACGGUACCUUAUUAGAAAGCCACGGCUAACUACGUG